Molecule: transfer RNA, 65 nt
Filed under: Pseudolebinthus lunipterus
Lineage: Eukaryota; Metazoa; Arthropoda; Insecta; Orthoptera; Gryllidae
Description: Pseudolebinthus sp. 1 RN-2019 tRNA-Leu
Source: RNAcentral
UACUAAUAUGGCAGAAAAGUGCAGUGAAUUUAAGAUUCAUAAAUAAAGGAACACCUUUUUUUAGU